Molecule: long non-coding RNA, 375 nt
Organism: Hippocampus comes (tiger tail seahorse)
Lineage: Eukaryota; Metazoa; Chordata; Actinopteri; Syngnathiformes; Syngnathidae
Exons: 3
Source: RefSeq, a predicted model, not a curated record
CAACAACUAUACUUUGAUGAGACAACUCAGUAGAAUAUGUGAUCCCAAUGAUCACCUUUCAAAAAACACUUGUCCUCCCGGCCAAAAUAUAUUGGACAGCCCCCCCGGUGUUUGAAUGCUGGAAUAACAUUCGUCGAGCCAGCUGCAGGGCGAGAGCGAGGAGGGGAAGAAUGAGGAGACAACUCGAGUGCACCUCGUGGCUCAGCAUCAUCACUUGGCUGACUUGGGUUUAACGUGCCUUCCGAACUUGGCUUGGGAUUUCAACAUGUGAAGCGACUUUGCAGAAGGAGGAACCACCUAGAAUGCCAGCUUUUAAGAAGGUGUUGCCAGCCAUUCUUCAGAAGCAUUGCUGUAUCUUCCCAAACAGGAAUGCAG